Molecule: RNA transcript, 5182 nt
Organism: Phascolarctos cinereus (koala)
Lineage: Eukaryota; Metazoa; Chordata; Mammalia; Diprotodontia; Phascolarctidae
Gene: ZHX1
Gene name: zinc fingers and homeoboxes 1
Source: RefSeq, a predicted model, not a curated record
GUGUGUCAAACAGUCAGGCACAACGCUCCCCCAGCAGAGCCCCCGGCCGGGCUGGGUGUGCAGUGCGGUGUGGGGGGCGCGCGCGUUGCGCGGGUCCUCCCUCGGGCCGCCAGCCGGCAUCCCUGCGCGCGCUUGCGCGCCGCGUCUCGAGCCUCAGGACCACGAACUCAGUGCCCCCCUCCUUCCCCGUGCCCCCUCCCCUCGGGGGCCGCGGGGGGCGCCGGGGCUGGCGGGGCCCCAGGAGUAUGUGAGGUCCUGCUCUGGCCCGCAGAAUGGUUCCGGGUUUAGAGUUCACAGGUCAGAGUUGACUCCCUGAAAAGUGCAGCUGGUUUGAAAUGCAAGAUGGCGGCGGCAGCGGGGCCGUGAGGAGAGCCGAGCCCGCGGCGGCGGCGGCGGCUACGGCGGGGGACCAGAGCACCGAGGCGGCAGCGGCCCCUCCAGGAAAAGGUGCAUGGCUAAUUUGUCGUUUGUAGUUAGUAAUGGCUUGAGCUAAACUCCUCUAACUGGAAGGCAUUCCCUGCUUCUUCGAAGGAUAGAGUACUGGAGAAAAUGUGGCAAGUGAUUGGAUGUUUGCUUCAGAAGCUUCAGCAACUCAGCUUUGCAGCUACCAACUACAAGCUCUUUUCUUGAUUGCACUAUGAAAAAGUUGCAAAUGGGAUGGACUUAUAGAACCAAAAGCCAUUUUUUUCAAAUGAAGAUAACUGAAGGAGUUUGAUCUUCAUUGCCUUCUAAUCACAGUUGAGAUUUCCCCACAGAAACAGAAUGGCAAGCAAAAGAAAAUCAACAACACCUUGCAUGGUCCUUGCUAGUGAACAGGAUCCGGACCUAGAAUUGAUAUCAGACUUGGAUGAAGGUCCGCCUGUACUUACACCAAUAGAAAAUGCAGCAGCAGAAAGUAUCUCAAGUGAUGAAGAUGUUCAAGAACUUGUAGAUUCUGACAAUCAACAAAAUAAAAAAGUUGAAGGUGGCUAUGAAUGUAAAUAUUGUACUUUUCAAACGCCAGAUCUUAACAUGUUUACCUUUCAUGUAGAUUCAGAACAUCCCAAUAUAGUGUUAAAUUCAUCCUAUGUUUGUGUUGAAUGCAAUUUUCUUACCAAAAGAUAUGAUGCGCUUUCUGAGCAUAAUUUGAAAUAUCAUCCUGGAGAAGAGAAUUUUAAGCUGACUAUGGUAAAACGAAAUAAUCAGACAAUCUUUGAGCAAACAAUUAAUGAUCUGACUUUUGAUGGUAGUUUUGUAAAAGAAGAUAAUUCAGAUCAGGUAGAAUCUAUAGAAGCUCCCUCAUCAGGGAUUUCUAUCAGCAAAACUCCAAUAAUGAAAAUGAUGAAAAAUAAAGUAGAGAAUAAACGGAUUGCAGUUUUCCAUAACUCUGAAGACAUUCCAGAAGAGAAAGAGAACGAAACUAAAUCAGGUCAUGAAGAAGUAGUAAAAAAUCCAACUUCAUCAGCAUCUGAGUCUAAUACAAGUACUUCUGUUGUAAAUAGUAUACAUCCAAAUACCACAAAUACAGUAGUUACCCCAGCAGCAGUUCUUCAGCCUGGGCUAGCACAGGUGAUAACAGCAGCUAUGUCAGCUCAGCAGAAUUCUAACUUGAUUCCUAAAGUUUUAAUCCCUCUUAACAGCAUUCCCACCUAUAAUGCUGCUUUGGAUAACAAUCCCCUUUUGCUCAACACCUACAACAAAUUCCCUUACCCAACAAUGUCUGAAAUUACAGUUCUAUCUGCUCAAGCAAAAUAUACAGAGGAACAGAUCAAGAUAUGGUUUUCAGCCCAACGCCUGAAACAUGGUGUUAGUUGGACUCCAGAAGAAGUAGAGGAGGCAAGGAGAAAACAAUUCAAUGGCACAGUACAUACUGUACCACAAACAAUAACAGUGAUUCCUACACACAUUUCAGCAGCUAGUAAUGGUUUACCUUCCAUUUUACAGACAUGCCAAAUAGUUGGUCAGCCAGGUCUGGUCCUUACACAAGUAGCUGGCACUAACCAAUUGCCAGUAACAACACCUAUAGCUUUGACAGUUGCAGGAGUUCCAAAUCAAACUCAUAUGCAGAAAAGUCAGGUGCACAGUGCUCAGGCUAUUGCAGAAACAAAGCCAGUAGCUGCAACUCCAGCCCCAGCCCCAGCCCCAGCGCCAGCUCCAGCGCCAGUGCCAGCAUCAGCCCUAGCUCCAACCUCAGCCCCAGCCCCAGCCCCAACUCCAACUCCUCAGUUAAUCAAGCAUGAAACUGCAUUGGUGAAUCCUGAUUCAUUUGGUAUCCGGGCAAAAAAGACAAAGGAACAGCUGGCAGAAUUAAAAGUUAGCUACCUUAAAAAUCAGUUUCCUCAUGACUCAGAGGUAAUCAGGCUUAUGAAAAUAACAGGCCUGACUAAAGGCGAGAUCAAAAAGUGGUUUAGUGACACAAGGUAUAAUCAGAGAAAUUCCAAGAGUAAUCAGUGUGUCCAUCUCAACAGUGAAGCUUGUACCCCUAUUGUUAUUGAUUCUAGUGACGAGACUGCAGAAUCCCCGACAGUUGUUGUUCCACAGACUAAGCAGCUGGGGAAUUCUUUCCCUGACUUUACUCCACAAAAAUUUAAAGAGAAAACUUCAGAGCAGUUGCGCAUCCUCCAAGCAAGUUUCCUCAAUAAUCCUGUCCUUACUGAUGAAGAAUUGAACAGGUUAAGAGCACAAACCAAACUUACCAGGAGAGAAAUUGAUGCCUGGUUUACAGACAGAAAGAAAUCCAAAGCUUCAAAGGAAGAGAAAACAGAAAUAGAUGAAAGCAAUGCAGGCAGUUCCAAAGAAGAAGCUGGAGAAACUUCUCCUCAGGAAGAAUGUGCAGCACCUAAGUCAGUGACUACCACAAACAAAGUGUGUAAAAAAUCACCAGAGCAGUUGCACAUACUUAAAAGUGCAUUUGUUCGAACACAGUGGCCAUCACCAGAAGAAUAUGACAAGUUGGCUGAGGAAAGUGGGCUUGCUAGAACAGAUAUUGUUAGUUGGUUUGGAGAUACACGAUAUGCUUGGAAAAAUGGGAAUUUAAAAUGGUACUAUUACUAUCAGAGUGCCAGUUCAAAUAGUAUGAAUGGACAGGCUUCCUUUAGGAGAAGGGGGAGAGGAAGACCAAAGGGAAGAGGAAGGGGAAGACCUCGUGGGAGGCCUAGAGGAAGCAAAAGGAUAAACAACUGGGACCGUGGACCAUCACUCAUAAAAUUUAAAACUGGAACUGCAAUACUUAAGGAUUAUUAUAUGAAGCACAAAUUUCUUAAUGAGCAAGACCUUGAUGAACUUGUUGCCAAAUCACAUAUGGGUUAUGAGCAGGUCAGAGAGUGGUUUGCAGAAAGACAAAGAAGAUCUGAGUUAGGAAUAGAGCUGUUUGAGGAGAAUGAAGAUGAUGAUGAGAUAAUAGAUGAUCAGGAAGAGGAUGAUGAAGAAACAGAUGACAGUGACACCUGGGAACCCCCACGGCAUGUUAAGCGGAAACUCUCUAAGUCAGAUGAUUAAAAUGAAAGAAUUCAAAAACGAAAACUAAAAAGAAGGGGAAAAGUAUAUCCGAAGGAAAGAAUAACUACAGGGGUGAGGAUUGCUCAGUUUUAGGAAACUAGUCUCAUGUUUUUCCUUUAUAGUUACCUACAGUGGUGAAGGGGACUCAAUUCUUGAAAUCAAGAUAUCUGAUUUACUGUGAAUGGGCCUAAUCUUUUAUGAAACUCAGAAUAUUUUUGGACAUACACACAUUCUCAUAACAUAGGAUUGAAUACUCGAAAGGAAUGGAACUUAGUGUUGUGCCAAAGUUAAACUACUGCAGUUGGCGGAAGUUCUGCAUUGUAAAUAGAACACUGAUUAAAAGACAACUUGUAAAAAUUCAGAUUUUAAUACAUUUUUAUUCUGAUGCAAGAUGGAAACGUUCUGUUUCUUAGGUUUUUUUGAGGGAAUUAAGUGACCACUAGAUUUUGUCCUCUUAUAAUUUUGUCCAGCUUAAUACUGUAUGUUCUAGUAAGAUGGGCUUUAUUGCCUGUAUUCUUUGAUAUGUGAUUAAGCUUAUAGCUUUGAGUGACCAAACAUUUUACAGAGUAAAAGUUCUUAGAAACAGGUUUAAAAAAAAAAAGAAAAAACUGAUUUAUUUCUGUGUCUUAUUCAUCAGGCCCUGCACUAAUUUUGAAAGUUGUGCACGUGCUUGUACAACUUACACAUAAAUGAAAAUGCAGCAUAUUUAUACAUUUUGGAACCCCAAGCCACAGGGCCUGUGUCAUUGGCUUUUUCAAGUUGAAGACAUCAUUGGAUGCUGCUACGAAUAUCUGUAAUACUCCUGUUUCUACUUUAAUAAAAGGCUGAUUUUGCUUUUCAUUAAACUGAAGAAAAUGUACUGAAUAAGGGAAAAAGCCGGCAUAAGAAUUUACAGAGAGAAUCUCUGAAAUAAACUUUGUACCAAAAAUGUGAAAAAGAAUUAUGUAGUAAAUAUAUGCUUAAUGAGUGUUUUUUAACAAUAAUGUAAAAUAAUGUACAGAUAAUGCAUCAGUCCAGAAUUUUCUAGAAUUCUCAGUCAAGUUCUGCCUUCUAUAACAAUUUCAGUGGCUAUAGAAAAAAUUCCUAAACUAAUAAGUAUCAUUAGCCAUUUAAAAGCUAGCUUUUGCUUGCAAAUUAUUGUAGUAUUAACAACUAUUUUGCCAUAGUUCAUAUUAACUUAUUUGUAAAGACUGGUGCUUUUCAUUCCUAUUUGAGGGACACUUUUGUUUGUGACUAUAGGACCAUUUUUUAAAAAUAUGCUGUUUUCAUGGAAGAAGAGUUUAGUUGAGUAUUUUGUUCUUAAAAUGCUUUUCUGAGUGACCAGAUCUAGUGGGAUUGCCUAGUUUGUUUCACCUAAUUUAAUGAAUGAUGAAUAUUAAGCUUUUAAUUUUUACCUAAACACUUGUCAACUAAGAGAAAGUUAUGGAAGAGCCUUGGAUAUGCAUGCUGCUUUCAUUUUUAUAAAUGGUUAUUUUUUAUUUUUUAAAUAUGGCUUUAUAAGUAUUUCCAAAAUACUGCAAUUUAUCUGAUCUAUUCACUACAGACUUCUGGCUUUGUGGAUGGCUUUUUUCAUACUACUGUUAACUUUUAUUUUUACGGUGUAAAGAUUGCAGCAAUUUAAUGCACUAUUUUUUUUUCACUUUUUAAUAACUUCAUAGAGCACUCUGUAAACUGUAAUAAUUAAAUUGCUCCUUUUUUAACCUUU